This 497-nucleotide ribosomal RNA is filed under the name uncultured bacterium. Its description in RNAcentral is "partial 16S ribosomal RNA". It matches the Rfam family "Bacterial small subunit ribosomal RNA", at positions 28 to 507 of the family's 1533-position model. The record is from RNAcentral.
GAUGAACGCUGGCGGCGUGCCUAAUACAUGCAAGUCGAGCGAACAGAUGAGGAGCUUGCUCCUCUGACGUUAGCGGCGGACGGGUGAGUAACAUGUGGAUAACCUACCUAUAAGACUGGGAUAACUUCGGGAAACCGGAGCUAAUACCGGAGAAUAUAUUGAACCGCAUGGGUCAAUAGUGAAAGACGGUUUUGCUGUCACUUAUAGAUGGAUCCGCGCCGCAUUAGCUAGUUGGUAAGGUAACGGCUUACCAAGGCAACGAUGCGUAGCCGACCUGAGAGGGUGAUCGGCCACACUGGAACUGAGACACGGUCCAGACUCCUACGGGAGGCAGCAGUAGGGAAUUUUCCGCAAUGGGCGAAAGCCUGACGGAGCAACGCCGCGUGAGUGAUGAAGGUCUUCGGAUCGUAAAACUCUGUUAUUCGGGAAGAACAAAUGUGUAAGUAACUAUGCACGUCUUGACGGUACCUAAUCAGAAAGCCACGGCUAACUACGUG